RNAcentral lists this unclassified non-coding RNA (336 nucleotides) under soil metagenome. RNAcentral's name for it is "partial contains 5.8S ribosomal RNA, internal transcribed spacer 2, and large subunit ribosomal RNA". The stretch from base 1 to 120 matches the Rfam family "5.8S ribosomal RNA", at positions 35 to 154 of the family's 154-position model. The record is from RNAcentral.
GAUGAAGAACGUAGCGAAAUGCGAUAAGUAAUGUGAAUUGCAGAAUUCAGUGAAUCAUCGAAACUUUGAACGCACAUUGCGCCCGCCAGUAUUCUGGCGGGCAUGCCUGUUCGAGCGUCAUUUCAACCAUCAAGCCCCAGGCUUGUGUUGGGGACCUGCGGCUGCCGCAGGCCCUGAAAACCAGUGGCGGGCUCGCUGUCACACCGGGCGUAGUAGAUUUUAUCUCGCUCUGGGCGUGCUGCGGGUUCCGGCCGUUAAAAAACCCUUUUAACCCAAGGUUGACCUCGGAUCAGGUAGGAAUACCCGCUGAACUUAAGCAUAUCAAUAAGCGGAGGA